GCUAACUACGUGCCAGCAGCCGCGGUAAUACGUAGGGUGCAAGCGUUGUCCGGAUUUAUUGGGUUUAAAGGGUGCGUAGGCGGUCUAUUAAGUCAGUGGUGAAAUCCAACAGCUCAACUGUUGAUGUGCCAAUGAUACUGAUGGACUUGAGUACAGACGAGGUAGGCGGAAUUGACAGUGUAGCGGUGAAAUGCAUAGAUAUUGUCAAGAACACCGAUAGCGAAGGCAGCUUGCUAGCCUGUAACUGACGCUGAGGCACGAAAGUAUGGGGAUCAAACAGGAUUAGAUACCCUUGUAGUC
Molecule: ribosomal RNA, 300 nt
Filed under: uncultured Cytophaga sp.
Lineage: Bacteria; Pseudomonadati; Bacteroidota; Cytophagia; Cytophagales; Cytophagaceae
Description: bacterial SSU rRNA
Rfam family: Bacterial small subunit ribosomal RNA
Source: RNAcentral